This 493-nucleotide long non-coding RNA is filed under the name Androctonus crassicauda. Lineage: Eukaryota; Metazoa; Arthropoda; Arachnida; Scorpiones; Buthidae. The record is from RNAcentral.
UGUUGAGUGCCGUUGGGGGCCUCCUGUAAGCUGCUUUUUUCUUGUUUUUCUUUAUUAUUUCCUUUGCUGUCUUGUGGUUGCUCGGGGAGUGUUCGGGACCGGGUGUCCGCUUUCUUGUUCAUCGCUUCGGGGGUUCGUUCUUGGAUGUCUUGCGGUUGGGUCGUUGGUCACUGUCUCCUUCAGGGUUCUGUCCACUAAUACUUCCUGAUAGCCAUGCUUCUUGGCUAUUGUUUUUAUGUUCUGUGUCUCUUUUUGGAGUGCCUCUUUUUCGCUGCAACUCGCUGCUUUCUUUGCUGCUGGGUGGGUGCCCUUGUUGCGAGGGACCUGAAUGCUGCUUUCUUGUGUCUCCAUUUGUCCCUUGAUCAUUCUGGGAUUGCUGGUGCAUGGGUCUGUUUUCGAUGUGCCUCUGUUGAAAGUUUGUUUCCUUCUGUUUUCAACUUUGCGUCUGGGUGGUGGACCUCUCUUUUACUCCUCUGCUCUAACUAGAAAAAAA